RNAcentral lists this transfer RNA (69 nucleotides) under Marmota monax (woodchuck). Its description in RNAcentral is "tRNA.Ala". The stretch from base 5 to 66 matches the Rfam family "tRNA", at positions 6 to 65 of the family's 71-position model. Rfam says of the family: Transfer RNA (tRNA) molecules are approximately 80 nucleotides in length. Their secondary structure includes four short double-helical elements and three loops (D, anti-codon, and T loops). Further hydrogen bonds mediate the characteristic L-shaped molecular structure. tRNAs have two regions of fundamental functional importance: the anti-codon, which is responsible for specific mRNA codon recognition, and the 3' end, to which the tRNAs corresponding amino acid is attached (by aminoacyl-tRNA synthetases). tRNAs cope with the degeneracy of the genetic code in two manners: having more than one tRNA (with a specific anti-codon) for a particular amino acid; and 'wobble' base-pairing, i.e. permitting non-standard base-pairing at the 3rd anti-codon position. The record is from RNAcentral. Lineage: Eukaryota; Metazoa; Chordata; Mammalia; Rodentia; Sciuridae.
GGACUGAAGUUCAGUUGGUAGAACGCUCGCCUAGCAUGUGUGAGGCACUGGGUUCGAUCCUCAGCACCA